AUGAACGCUGGCGGCGUGCCUAAUACAUGCCAGUCGCGCGAACAGACGAGGAGCUUGCUCCUCUGACGUUAGCGGCGGACGGGUGAGUAACACGUGGAUAACCUACCUAUAAGACUGGGAUAACUUCGGGAAACCGGAGCUAAUACCGGAUAAUAUAUUGAACCGCAUGGUUCAAUAGUGAAAGACGGUUUUGCUGUCACUUAUAGAUGGAUCCGCGCCGCAUUAGCUAGUUGGUAAGGUAACGGCUUACCAAGGCAACGAUGCGUAGCCGACCUGAGAGGGUGAUCGGCCACACUGGAACUGGGACACGGUCCAGACUCCUACGGGAGGCAGCAGUAAGGAAUCUUCCGCAAUGGGCGAAAGCCUGACGGAGCAACGCCGCGUGAGUGAUGAAGGUCUUCGGAUCGUAAAACUCUGUUAUUAGGGAAGAACAAAUGUGUAAGUAACUAUGCACGUCUUGACGGUACCUAAUCAGAAAGCCACGGCUAACUACGUG
RNAcentral lists this ribosomal RNA (496 nucleotides) under uncultured bacterium. RNAcentral's name for it is "partial 16S ribosomal RNA". It matches the Rfam family "Bacterial small subunit ribosomal RNA", at positions 29 to 507 of the family's 1533-position model. The record is from RNAcentral.